AGUGAACGCUGGCGGUAGGCCUAACACAUGCAAGUCGAACGGCAACACAGUAAGAGCUUGCUCUUACGGGUGGCCAGUGGCGUACGGAUGAGGAAUACAUCGGAAUCUACUUUUUCGUGGAGCAUAACGUAGCUAAACUUACGCUAAUACAGCAUACGACCUUCGUGUGUAAGCAGUGGAUCUUCGUAGCUUGCGCGAAUGAAUGAGCCGAUGUCGGAUUAGCUAGUUGGCGGGGUAAAGGCCCACCAAGGGGACGAUCCGGAGCUGGUCUGAGAGGAGGAUAGCCCAAACGGGAACGGGGACAGGGUCAGGACUCCUACGGGAGGCAGCAGAGGGGAAUAUUGGACAAUGGGGGCAAGCCUUAUACAGCCCGACCGCGUGGGUGAAGAAGGCCUUCGGUUUGUAAAGCCCUUUUUUUGGGAAAGAAAAGCAGCAGGUUAAUACCCCGCUGUUCUGACGGUACCCAAAGAAUAAGCACCGGCUAACUUCGUG
RNAcentral lists this ribosomal RNA (492 nucleotides) under uncultured bacterium. Its description in RNAcentral is "partial 16S ribosomal RNA". It matches the Rfam family "Bacterial small subunit ribosomal RNA", at positions 29 to 507 of the family's 1533-position model. The record is from RNAcentral.